Molecule: ribosomal RNA, 497 nt
Filed under: uncultured bacterium
Lineage: Bacteria
Description: partial 16S ribosomal RNA
Rfam family: Bacterial small subunit ribosomal RNA
Source: RNAcentral
GAUGAACGCUGGCGGCGUGCCUAAUACAUGCAAGUCGAGCGAACAGACGAGGAGCUUGCUCCUCUGACGUUAGCGGCGGACGGGUGAGUAACACGUGGAUAACCUACCUAUAAGACUGGGAUAACUUCGGGAAACCGGAGCUAAUACCGGAUAAUAUAUUGAACCGCAUGGUUCAAUAGUGAAAGACGGUUUUGCUGUCACUUAUAGAUGGAUCCGCGCCGCAUUAGCUAGUUGGUAAGGUAACGGCUUACCAAGGCAACGAUGCGUAGCCGACCUGAGAGGGUGCUCGGCCACACUGGAACUGAGACACGGUCCAGACUCCUACGGGAGGCAGCAGUAGGGAAUCUUCCGCAAUGGGCGAAAGCUUGACGGAGCAACGCCGCGUGAGUGAUGAAGGUCUUCGGAUCGUAAAACUCUGUUAUUAGGGAAGAACAAAUGUGUAAGUAACUAUGCACGUCUUGACGGUACCUAAUCAGAAAGCCACGGCUAACUACGUG